AGUGGGAUAGCUGGGUCAAAUGGUGGUUCCAUUUCAAGUUUUCUAAGGAACCUCCUUACUGCUUUCCAUAUUGGCUGCACCAUUUUGUAGUCCUACUAGCAAU
RNAcentral lists this microRNA precursor (103 nucleotides) under Marmota monax (woodchuck). The record is from RNAcentral. Lineage: Eukaryota; Metazoa; Chordata; Mammalia; Rodentia; Sciuridae.